This 119-nucleotide ribosomal RNA is filed under the name Triticum aestivum (bread wheat). RNAcentral also lists the same sequence under 1 other name. Lineage: Eukaryota; Viridiplantae; Streptophyta; Magnoliopsida; Poales; Poaceae. The record is from RNAcentral.
GGAUGCGAUCAUACAAGCACUAAAGCACCGGAUCCCAUCAGAACUCCGAAGUUAAGCGUGCUUGGGCGAGAGUAGUACUAGGAUGGUUGACCUCCUGGGAAGUCCUCGUGUUGCAUUCC